GUUUGUUGGAAGUCCACACCCCCUACGACUUAAAGGAGCGCUACACGGAAUCUGUCAAUCAAACGUUCAGCGCAGGACGGCUUCAUUUUCUUGAGGCUUCUGACUGCGUGCUUCCACCCGGCUGUGAAGAACGGAGCCGGAAUCCUAGAAAAGCUUUUCAAAUCUUCAGAAUAGAAGUAGCAUUGUUGGAGUGGAGAAGCACGCUCUCCGCCAGAGCACAUCAAUGGAACAUCAACGUUCUCGGGUUUAAGGAGGGUCUUUGGAGGCCUUUGAAAUUGCAGGAACCCAGAUCAUGACAUCAUGGUUUAUCAGAGCCUGAUCAGCAGGAGCUCAUGGGCUCUCAAAGGCUGUUUUGUCUUCCUUCGCCACGAACCCCCCAGGUCCCACAGGUGAGGAGAAACGCAUCAGGUUGAACUGCAUCUUUACAUUCUGUGGACUUUUCCUCACUUUUGAGGCUGCGUGUUCUCAGCACAAAGGUAAUGAGGCCGGGAAUCCUUCCAGUGAGCUCUGCAGCAGCAGGUUCCUCGUCCUUUGUGUCUAAUAUACUUACAACAGUAAAGAAAAUCCCCUCUUCAGACGGACUUUUGUCUCUCGUCUUCACACAACGGUGCUGGUGCCAAGACAUGAGAGGACAAGAAGGCCUGUGUAGUCAUGAAACCUUAGACGCUGGACCGGCAACAUGUGUCCAAAAAACGCCUCUAA
Molecule: long non-coding RNA, 702 nt
Organism: Oryzias melastigma (Indian medaka)
Lineage: Eukaryota; Metazoa; Chordata; Actinopteri; Beloniformes; Adrianichthyidae
Exons: 4
Source: RefSeq, a predicted model, not a curated record